RNAcentral lists this small RNA (578 nucleotides) under Pan troglodytes (chimpanzee). RNAcentral describes it as "retained intron". Lineage: Eukaryota; Metazoa; Chordata; Mammalia; Primates; Hominidae. The record is from RNAcentral.
CAGUGGGUGUUGGGCAGCUCGAUCGGAGCCUGGCCCUUUGCGUGUGGGUCAGCCUUCACCCAACUCCGACCCCACCUCCGGAGCUGCCGGGCGGGGGUCGCUUACGGGCCCGGAGGGGCGCCGGGUGCCCCGCCUCUCAGAGACACCGUUCUAUAUUUGAAGCCAGGAGCAGGAAGGGAGUAUGAUGGGGGCUUAGAGUAUAUGCCUGUCGGCUCACAGAUUUGGCUCCUAGCUCCUUUCAGGAAGUAGCUUUUAAUGAAGAGCUCUGGCAAAGUCCUCAUCCUCCCCCAAGAAAACCAUUGUCCUCCACCCAUUUCCCCGCGGUCGGAACCUCCCUAACCGAACCUCUCUCCCUCUCUCUCGUCCUAGCGUACGAUACCUGGUGCGGCGUGGCCCAUGGAUGUACCAGAAAACUGGGGCUCAAGAUCUGCGGCUUCUUGCAAAGGACCAACAGCCUGGAAGAGAAGAGUCGCCUUGUGAGUGCCUUCAAGGAGAGGCAAUCCUCCAAGAACCUGCUUUCCUGUGAAAACAGCGACCGGGAUGCCCGCUUCCGGCGCACAGAGACUGACUUCUCCAAU